This 214-nucleotide long non-coding RNA is filed under the name Daucus carota (carrot). RNAcentral describes it as "long non-coding RNA (DCAR_LNC006828)". The record is from RNAcentral. Lineage: Eukaryota; Viridiplantae; Streptophyta; Magnoliopsida; Apiales; Apiaceae.
AUACGGAUAAUAUCCGCUUUUUCUCGGAUAUGGGUGCGGAUAUUUCGGACGGAUGUCGGAUAUUUUUGAUGGUCAUACCGUAUUGACGAUGAUUUUGGAACAAUUUUUUUAUGACUAAGCUCAAAUGAUAUUUUUAUAUAUGUAUAAAGUAUUUUAGUAUUUGUAUAAUUAUAUAAAUUUUGUAUAAAUGUAUUAUUUAAUGCAUAUACACACA